UUGUGAGGCAUCUCCGGGCAGGGCGCCGGCCUAAGUUCCUUGGAACAGGACGUCAUAGAGGGUGAGAAUCCCGUGCUUGGCUGGCUGUCCCCGUCCAUGUGAGGUGUCUUCGACGAGUCGAGUUGUUUGGGAAUGCAGCUCAAAAUGGGUGGUAAAUUUCAUCUAAAGCUAAAUAUUGGUGGGAGACCGAUAGCGCACAAGUAGAGUGAUCGAAAGAUGAAAAGCACUUUGAAAAUAGAGUUAAAAAGUACGUGAAAUUGUUGAAAGGGAAGCGCUUGAGACCAGACUUCGGUGGGGAGUGAUCAGCUGUCCUUCUGGGCGGUGCACUUGCUCCCCUCCGGGCCAGCAUCGGUUGGGACGGCGGGAUAAAGGUCCCGGGAAUGUGGCUCCUCUCGGGGAGUGUUAUAGCCCGGGUGAAUGCCGCCAGCCCCGACCGAGGACCGCGCCUUCGGGCUAGGAUGCUUGGCAUAAUGGUCUUCAGCGAC
RNAcentral lists this ribosomal RNA (485 nucleotides) under Morchella esculenta. RNAcentral describes it as "partial large subunit ribosomal RNA". It matches the Rfam family "Eukaryotic large subunit ribosomal RNA", at positions 151 to 648 of the family's 3401-position model. Lineage: Eukaryota; Fungi; Ascomycota; Pezizomycetes; Pezizales; Morchellaceae. The record is from RNAcentral.